UUGCUUCUGGUGUCUGUCUCCCAGUGGGUGACAUUGAUUUAGGGGCUUGUGCAGGCUUCCUGGUAGGAGGGACUGGCGCCUGCCCACUGGUGCAUGGAGGUGGGUCUUGUCCCUCUGGUGGGCAGAAAUAUGUCAAGGAGUGUGUUUAGAGGUGGCUGUGAGCUCAGUACAACUUUAGGCUGCCUGUCUGCUGAUGGGUGGGGCUAUGUCUCCCCCCCACGAGUGCUAGUUGUUUGGCCUGAGGCCUCCCAGCACUAGAGCCUGCAGGCUGUAGGGUGGGGCCACUUCUUGUUGCCAAAAUGGUGACCUCUGGGAGAGCUCACACCAAUCAAUAUUCCCUGGGUCCUUCAUCACAGGUGUCCUUGCACAGAGAGAGCCACAAUCAACCCCCACCUCUUCAGGAGACCCUCCAAUACCCACAGCAUAGAUGUUCUUCUCUUCUUCAAUAGCUUCACACUUGGAAGUGUUCCAACAGAAUGAGAACCUGACUAUCCUAAGUGGCCGAUAAAGGCUUACUGCAGUUACAGGAAUGCUGAUUGUUCCAUAACAUAUGUAACUACUCUGGGUACAUUUUGUAGACUGGUGAUAAAACACGUCACAUCUUAAAUCUCUGAAUGAUGUGCUUACGUGUGUAUGUGUAUUUAUAUGUGUGUACACACCUUCACAUAAAAAGCAGAAACAAAACCAUCUUGGGCCUUUGAUUUGAAGCACUCUGCACUUCCCAGGUGAUUCUGCUUCUGCUUUACUGAGCCAGCUACUAAGGGAACCUCAAUGCGAUGAUGAAUAGACUUGCCUCAAAAAGGAGGAUGAAGGGGAGCAGAAUAUGCCAUCCCAAAAUGGGCCUCUUUGACAUAAGGAUUAUUUUGAGUGGAUUAUUUUUAAGAAACAGACAGAAGAAAAGCUCUAAAAAUCUAGUAGAAGUUACUCAUUUGUUAGAGACAUUUACAUUUAUAAGAGAAAUUUUUAUUUGUAAGUGUGUCUUCUAAUCUCUGCCAGGGAGAGAAGGAUGACUGUAAAUCACAAGAAACUUUUAUCAGUGGAGAAGAUACCCAACUUAAAUCUGCGUACAACCUUACUCUGUUUACUGUGUUUUUCCUAGUAACUUCCCAUAACUGGCCUUCUCCACCUCCCAACAUUUUUCUUGUGUCUUUAGCUGAAAAAGGAAUUUAAGAUGAUGGCUUGGGCUAUUUGGGGGAGUUAGUUUUCCAGGGUCUCCCCCAUGUAUACAGGUGGUAUACAUGUUAUUCGUUUUCUAUUUAUUUUUCUCCUGUUAAUCUGUCUUUUAUUACAGGGGUGGGGUCUCAGCCAACAACCUAGAAUGGUAGAGGGAAAAUUUUUUUUCCUCACUGACAGUUUGGCGACCCAUGAUGGGAUCUGCUGAAACACUGUACUUCUUCUGGAGCCUGAAGAUAGGAACCUGGAAAACUGGCAGAAGCCAGCAAAGGGUAAGAAUUCUUACCAAAGUCACCUCUCUCGGAUCUCUGUCUAUAAGGCCCAGUAGAGAGAGGAAGGGGAAAUUUCACCUUAUUCUUUCCAAAUUUAGAUUCACAGAAGAAAAUAUUUGUGUGAAUUAGUUCCUUGAGCAUAAAGACUCUGGUAAAGAUUUUGUUAUAAGCACUCUUGUUUUCUGUUGAUCCUUUCCCUUCCAUAGAUGGUCACUGUCUUACGUUGUCUCUGUCUUUUGUGUCAUUUGUCAUAAGGAGGAGAACCAUAGGUCAGAUAAGGUUUUCCUUUCAUCUUGUUUUUUGUGUUGAGAGCUUGGCUUUUUGACUAGUAAGAAAACUCUCUCUAGUCAUCACCAGCUGGAAGAUGCUAGUAUCAGCCUGUAUCUGGCAGCCACUAUAGGAUGGCAAUUCGAAACAUAUUCUCUUUGUCCCACUGUGCCAGCUCUCAGGGGAGUUUGUCUUAAGGGGUCCUGGUCCAUAAGGGGCCUUUGGCGUCUCAACCUCUGUUGUCUUGUUAGUGGUGGAAAAGCCCCAUUCCAGUAGUGUCUUGCCUGGUAUUACAGAUUAGCAGGUUUGUGACUGGAAGUGUUUCAUGUUCUCACAGAAAAUGUGAGAGAUUGUUUUCAGUACACCAUUCCUACCACCUGUGACAAAGAAGGUCUUUGCUUUCUUAGGCUAACUCUGGGAGUGAACUUUCUUGAUAUUAUGAGAGUCAGGCUUUUGCACUGUCCUAGGGGACACCUCUUGCAUCCACGGUUAAGCCAUAAAAAGCCAUAUUGGUUUGAGUUGCUAUUGAGAUUAAUAUACCAUUGAAGAUCCUACUCAUCAAUGACAAGAUGAUGGAUCUUUUGAACUGGAAAAACUUUUAUAAAAUUGGAAAAAAAUUUUCCAAUUGGAAACUUUUAUAAAAUUGAAAAAAAAUUCUCAUUCUAAGGAAUUGUCUUAUUAGUACCUAUGGAAAGAUCAAAUUGAAAAGAGGACACAAAGGAGUAUGGUGUCUAGCCUUAGGGACUCUUUUAACAAGGUAAAAUUACAAAGCCCCUUUUGCCUGCACUUUCAGAAGAUCCUACCAGAUUUAGAGAAGAGUUAGAAAGAUCAGUGGCCAUUCACAACCUCACUCACAAGGACCUUGACUGGAUGCUCAGGGGUAUUCUUCCCACCCAUAAUUAUACUGCAGUUAUCAAAGAAGCCAGACAGCCCCCUAGUGGACCACCCCUCACCCCACCCCAUCCCACCCCACCCCCAACCAAGGAAACAUGACCAGAAUUUCUCCCAGGCUCUCCCGCAAAUGAUCAGGAAAUGGAUCAGUGGAGGUUAGUGUUCAGAGGAUGAUACAAUCAAGAGUGAACUGGUCCAAGGUUGAACUGUACACUCAAGGAGAGCAUUCGCAGACCUUUGCUGAAUGCUUUAUACAGACUUCACAAAGGUAAAUUGUACUAAACCCUAAAGCUCCAGAACAUAGUAAUGUUUUUAUUUCCAUCUCAGUUGGAAUGGAAAUCUUCUCCUUUGGUAGAAAUGUGGGUGAUUGUAGAGAGAAAAAGGAUGCUUCCAUAAAUAAUAUACUCUUGUGGAUAUCAGGUUCUAGUCCUGUUAACUGUCUGAAGUCUCAUUAUUUUCCUGUAAACUGGACGAGAUCCUGAAUUAUCCUACUUUCCUCAAAUAAUCUGGCUACAUCUCUUCAAACUAACGUUUCCAAUUUUCUUCCAGUCUUUUGACUUGGAAUCACUAAGAACAAACUGUAUGAAGUUCCUAGAAAUCUGAUAUGUCCUGAUAUAAUAUUAUCACUUGUAAUUCGUUAUUAUCUUAAAAUGUAUGUCACAGACAUAACCAUAUUUCCUUGUCAACUGCAUUAUAACAAAGGCUCAUUAUAUCUUUAACCAUGGCUGUUUUUUAAGUCUUUUGUCAUUUAUGAAAGUUAUUGUUUUGCUUUUGCAAAAGUUAUUUCCCAAAACCCUGCAAACUGAAUGUGAAUGGAUUGACAUAAAGUUCAGAGAAAUGACCCCAGCGGCUCACGUUUAGAUCAUCUUUGUGCCUGUUGCUGUAUGGACCACUCAGGAAGUUUAACUGAACAUCCGAUGACAUCAGACAAAUUCAAAUUGCAGAAGAUGCUUCAACCCCAACAUCUAGAAAUCUGACUGGUGGUCUUCAGGACUCAGGCUGAGUUUAUAAUUUGACCCAACCACUAACUUUUGUUUUUCUCCUGUUUCCAUAGACAUGCCUCUAUUAAAUACCCAAUUGCUUGCACCGUAUAAGGCUAACUUUGGGACCCCACCUGCAACACCAGCUCCUGAAAUGAGACACAAUUGUUUAACUGAGCUGACCUAACCUCGAGAUUAAGAGACAAAAGCACCAUUUUCACUGCUCUGAAGAAAGAAGUACACAGAAACCAGAUGUCCUACAUGUGUGUUUCACUCAGUAAGUCCCAGGGUGACAGUGGAAGGAGCUGCUUUUGAAGUGUCGCCUUGCUGGCUUCACACUGGGAUCCCCGGCCGCCUGGGUGACAGUCGCUGUCGAGCCCAGCAAGCCCGUCUGGUUGGAAUCCAGGGCCCCGUGGGGAGCCCCGUUCUCCACCAGGUCCUCACAGCGGGAGCCCUACACCAUUAACUGCCCAGCACUGCAGGACCCAGAGCCUUCUCACUGACUAGGGGAGACUUUCCCUAGUCAGAAGCCAGAGCUCCUGUUCUUUCAUCAGAUACUUAAUCAUUUUCGUUAAAACCUUUAUUCGUUAACAUAUUCUAGAUAAUAAAAGCCUAAUUUAAUGCUAUUUCAAGUGUCUACUAUCAUAUGCGGUACCCUCA
Long non-coding RNA from Balaenoptera musculus (blue whale), 4243 nucleotides. RefSeq lists it as uncharacterized. NCBI's taxonomy places the organism in Eukaryota, Metazoa, Chordata, Mammalia, Artiodactyla, Balaenopteridae. The transcript is spliced from 3 exons. The record is from RefSeq and is a predicted model, not a curated record.